UACGGAGGGAGCUAGCGUUGUUCGGAAUUACUGGGCGUAAAGCGCGCGUAGGCGGUUAUUCAAGUCAGAGGUGAAAGCCCGGAGCUCAACUCCGGAACUGCCUUUGAAACUAGAUAACUAGAAUCUUGGAGAGGUCAGUGGAAUUCCGAGUGUAGAGGUGAAAUUCGUAGAUAUUCGGAAGAACACCAGUGGCGAAGGCGACUGACUGGACAAGUAUUGACGCUGAGGUGCGAAAGCGUGGGGAGCAAACAGG
This 253-nucleotide ribosomal RNA is filed under the name uncultured bacterium. RNAcentral's name for it is "partial 16S ribosomal RNA". It matches the Rfam family "Bacterial small subunit ribosomal RNA", at positions 524 to 776 of the family's 1533-position model. The record is from RNAcentral.